RNAcentral lists this ribosomal RNA (250 nucleotides) under uncultured bacterium. RNAcentral describes it as "partial 16S ribosomal RNA". It matches the Rfam family "Bacterial small subunit ribosomal RNA", at positions 524 to 773 of the family's 1533-position model. The record is from RNAcentral.
UACGUAGGGUGCGAGCGUUAAUCGGAAUUACUGGGCGUAAAGCGUGCGUAGACGGUUGUACAAGCUCGAUGUGAAAGCCCCAAGCUUAACCUGAGAAUGGCAUUGAGGACUGUGCGGCUGGAGUGCGGCAGAGAGAGGUGGAAUUCCACGUGUAGCAGUGAAAUGCGUAGAGAUGUGGAGGAACACCGAUGGCGAAGGCAGCCUCCUGGGCCGACACUGACGCUGAUGCACGAAAGCGUGGGGAGCAAAC